GGGUGAGUAACACGUGGAUAACCUACCUAUAAGACUGGGAUAACUUCGGGAAACCGGAGCUAAUACCGGAUAAUAUCUUGAACCGCAUGGUUCAAAAGUGAAAGACGGUCUUGCUGUCACUUAUAGAUGGAUCCGCGCUGCAUUAGCUAGUUGGUAAGGUAACGGCUUACCAAGGCAACGAUGCAUAGCCGACCUGAGAGGGUGAUCGGCCACACUGGAACUGAGACACGGUCCAG
Molecule: ribosomal RNA, 236 nt
Filed under: uncultured Staphylococcus sp.
Lineage: Bacteria; Bacillati; Bacillota; Bacilli; Caryophanales; Staphylococcaceae
Description: partial 16S ribosomal RNA
Rfam family: Bacterial small subunit ribosomal RNA
Source: RNAcentral